UUUACGGCUCAGUAACACGUGGACAACCUACCCUAAGGAGGGGGAUAACCCCGGGAAACUGGGGAUAAUACCCCAUAGAUUAUGGAUGCUGGAAUGCUCUGUAGUUGAAAAGGUCAGCCGCCUUAGGAUGGGUCUGCGGCCGAUUAGGUUGUUGUUGGGGUAACGGCCCAACAAGCCUAUAAUCGGUACGGGUUGUGGGAGCAAGAGCCCGGAGAUGGAUUCUGAGACACGAAUCCAGGCCCUACGGGGCGCAGCAGGCGCGAAAACUUUACAAUGCGGGAAACCGUGAUAAGGGAACUCCGAGUGCCCGUUAAAUCGGGCUGUCCACCAGUUUAAAUAACUGGUGAAGAAAGGGCCGGGCAAGACCGGUGCCAGCCGCCGCGGUAAUACCGGCGGCUCGAGUGGUGCCCACUAUUACUGGGCUUAAAGCGUUCGUAGCUGGUCUGUUAAGUCUCUGGGGAAAUCUACCGGCUUAACCGGUAGGCGUCUCAGGGAUACUGGCAGACUAGGGACCGGGAGAGGUGAGGGGUACUCCAGGGGUAGGAGUGAAAUCCUGUAAUCCUUGGGGGACCACCUGUGGCGAAGGCGCCUCACCAGAACGGCUCCGACAGUGAGGGACGAAAGCUGGGGGAGCAAACCGGAUUAGAUACCCGGGUAGUCCCAGCUGUAAACGAUGCGCGUUAGGUGUAUCGGUGACCACGAGUCACCGAGGUGCCGAAGAGA
Molecule: ribosomal RNA, 723 nt
Filed under: uncultured Methanomicrobiaceae archaeon
Lineage: Archaea; Methanobacteriati; Methanobacteriota; Methanomicrobia; Methanomicrobiales; Methanomicrobiaceae
Description: bacterial SSU rRNA
Rfam family: Archaeal small subunit ribosomal RNA
Source: RNAcentral